RNAcentral lists this ribosomal RNA (433 nucleotides) under uncultured bacterium. Its description in RNAcentral is "partial 16S ribosomal RNA". It matches the Rfam family "Bacterial small subunit ribosomal RNA", at positions 29 to 507 of the family's 1533-position model. The record is from RNAcentral.
AACGAACGCUGGCGGCAUGCCUAACACAUGCAAGUCGAACGAGACCUUCGGGUCUAGUGGCGCACGGGUGCGUAACGCGUGGGAACCUGCCCUUAGGUUCGGAAUAACUCCCCGAAAGGGGUGCUAAUACCGGAUAAUGUCUUCGGACCAAAGAUUUAUCGCCUUUGGAUGGGCCCGCGUUGGAUUAGCUAGUUGGUAGGGUAAAAGCCUACCAAGGCGACGAUCCAUAGCUGGGCUGAGAGGAUGAUCAGCCACACUGGGACUGAGACACGGCCCAGACUCCUACGGGAGGCAGCAGUGGGGAAUAUUGGACAAUGGGCGAAAGCCUGAUCCAGCAAGGCCGCGUGAGUGAUGAAGGCCUUAGGGUUGUAAAGCUCUUUUACCCGGGAUGAUAAUGACAGUACCGGGAGAAUAAGCGCCGGCUAACUCCGUG